Long non-coding RNA from Acanthochromis polyacanthus (spiny chromis), 1354 nucleotides. RefSeq lists it as uncharacterized. The record is from RefSeq and is a predicted model, not a curated record. The transcript is spliced from 5 exons. NCBI's taxonomy places the organism in Eukaryota, Metazoa, Chordata, Actinopteri, Pomacentridae.
UCUACUCUAGAACUUUCUCCAGUUGUCAGUAGGUCUACUCUAGAACUUUCUCCAGUUGUCGGUAGGUCUACUCUAGAACUUUCUCCAGGUGUCGGUAGGUCUACUCUAGAACUUUCUCCAGUUGUCGGUAGGUCUACUCUAUAACUUUCUCCAGCUGUCGGUAGGUCUACUCUAGAACUUUCUCCAGCUGUCGGUAGGUCUACUCUAGAACUUUCUCCAGCUGUCGGUAGGUCUGCUCUAGAACUUUCUCCAGCUGUCGGUAGGUCUGCUCUAGAACUUUCUCCAGCUGUCGGUAGGUCUGCUCUAGAACUUUCUCCAGCUGUCGGUAGGUCUACUCUAGAACUUUCUCCAGCUGUCGGUAGGUCUGCUCUAGAACUUUCUCCAGCUGUCGGUAGGUCUGCUCUAGAACUUUCUCCAGCUGUCGGUAGGUCUACUCUAGAACUUUCUCCAGCUGCUGGUAGGUCUACUCUCGAACUUUCUCCAGGGGACGUUCUCCUUUUCUGCUUCCAGUCUUUAAGUUUAGUCUCACUUAGAACAUUCCAGGUCCUUGAAGUCCAUAGAGGAGGAUCCAGAUUUAUCACUUUUUAAUGGACUUUUUCAGAACUUCAUCAGUCCAGCAGAUAGAAUAAUGACAUUUAGGAGGAGAAACAUCUGAGUUGGGGUAAAAACUGACAACAGAUCAGUUUUCCAUCCAUUCAGGUGUGUCAGUCUAAACAGUGAAUCUGGUUUCUGUUCAGAACCAUUUUUUUCUAUCAUUUUAUUCAACUGUUGAGUCAGAAACCGGACCAUUCUCAAGCAAUUGAAGACAGUUUUCAUAUUUUUCCUGUAAUUUUGGAUCAUUUUUGAGUCCUUUUGCACAAAUUUUGAGUCAUUUUCUAUCAUUUUUGAAGCAUCGUGGACUAAUUUUGUGUCGUUCGGCAAAUCUUCAGUCAGUUUGAUAAUUUUUGAGUCAUUUUGGGUGAAUUCUGACUCAUUUUGGACAAUUUUCUGGUCAUUUCCAAUAAGUUCUGUCAACUUGGAUCUUUUUUUCAGCAUUUUGGAUCAUUUUUGUGUCUUUGGGACAAUUUUCAAGUCAUUUUAGACAAAAUUUUAGGUCUUUUUGUACAUUUUUGGAAUAAUUUGGGGUCAUUUAGGAAGGUUUUUGUAAUUUUUUUGGAGAAAUUCUAAUAUUUUUUGGGACAAUUUUGUGUACUUUUGGACAUCUUUUGUCAUUUUGAACAGUUUUUGAGUCAUUUUUGAUAAAUACUGAAACAAUUGGAGCAAUUUUUGUGUAAUUUUAGCCAAGUUUCACGUAAUUUGAACAAAGGCAUGAAUAAUUUUGAUCUUAUCUUGUGUCUGAUUGCGUUAUUUCUUG